GCACUUAACCUCACUGUUUAUUUUUGACUUCUUUUUCCUUCCAUAGUUGGAGGGGCUAACUCGUUUGUGAAAGAAAAGUCAAAAACAAACAGAAAGCCUCCCCACUCGGGAGGCUUUUUUUAU
Vibrio parahaemolyticus RIMD 2210633 is the source of this 123-nucleotide non-coding RNA. NCBI's taxonomy places the organism in Bacteria, Pseudomonadati, Pseudomonadota, Gammaproteobacteria, Vibrionales, Vibrionaceae. The record is from Rfam.